This 1212-nucleotide long non-coding RNA is filed under the name Apteryx owenii (little spotted kiwi). RNAcentral's name for it is "lncRNA (ENSAOWG00000017205.1)". Lineage: Eukaryota; Metazoa; Chordata; Aves; Apterygiformes; Apterygidae. The record is from RNAcentral.
GUCUGAGAUCCGUCCGUCCUUGUGACCCUUGUCCAUUUGAUAGUUACCAGGCAUGGGUUUGACAGAGAAAGUUAAUCUCCCCUGCGCACACUGGAGGCACGGGACCUCUCACUGCUGGACCGCCGUGGUGGUACCCAGAGGCACCUUCCUGCACGCUGAGCCUCGCUGCCGUGAUGCGUUUGGGGAGAGGCUGCAAAUCUGCACUGCGCAAGUGUCCUGCAGCUCUUGGAGUGGUGUCUUUUCCCCUUUGCUGAGGAUUCCCCAUGGAAAAGAAGCCACUCUAGACAGUCUUGGAGGGAAGAGAGCAAACUCCUGAGCAGGAAUGGAGGUGGACCAGAGUCAGUAAGCCUUUCAGAAGACUUUGAAGGUCAGGUGCUGAGCUGAGGAAGACCUCCCGUUCCCUCAGUUUCCUUGCUCUCUCCCCGGUCCGACUACCUGGAUAGAAACUGUGCCAGUUGCAGUCAGGCCAGCGUGAGUCAUCUUCUGCCACUGUUUUCCUGGCACAAGGACUGUGCCGCUGCGUGUGGGUGGAAGCCGCGCACACAUAUGCACAAAUACGGCUCAAGCAUCACUCGGGACAAGGCCGACUUUGCAGAGCCGGGCGGCUGGAGCUGCCCCCGGUGCCCACCCCAGCUCCAGCAUGGACUGAGCAGCUCCAAGGCUCUGCACCCAUAGAGGGGGCCUCAAAUUGCCAGCCGCUGAGGGCUUUGAAAUGGUUGGACCCCCCCCCCCGAAGCCCUACACACACACCCCUUGGGUCAGAAAAUCAGGACGCUGGAGUGUUUCAUCUAGGAUAGGUUUGGGGAGAAAAGAGGACUGGGAUCUGGUGACCAGCUGUAGGGAUCAGCCAGCCAAAAUCGCUCUAGUCUCACUGCCGCUCUCCCCGCGCUGCUCUCUUCUCCCAUCCCUGCUUCAGACCCAGCGAUAGACACCAGUCCCCCCCCGCAUCCGCCUCCCCCCGCUCUUCUCUCCGCAGCCAGCCCAGGCGGGCUGGCAUCUGGCCCAGGCCUGCGGCACCUGCCUCCUCGCCAAGCACACCAGAACCCGGCAAAGCUUUCCACCCCUCUCAGCGCUGCCCGGGGUUCGGGUCAGGCAAAGGGGGGUGUUCAGCUUCAUCAGCCCCAAAGAGAGGCCAGUCCCAGGGUCCCCCCUUCCUUCCACAGCUCCUUUGGCAGCAAUAAAGCCCAGCGGCCGUAUACGCCGGAGUCGUCU